GACGAAACGCUGGCGGCGUGCCUAAUACAUGCAAGUCGAGCGGGGGAUUAUGCUUGAUCGCUUCGGUGAGACGGCAUAUAUCCUAGCGGCGGACGGGUGAGUAACGCGUGGGUAAUCUACCUCGUAGUUCGGGAUAACAGGCCGAAAGGCUUGCUAAUACCGGAUGAGUUCAUGCUUAUGCAUAUAGGCAUGAAGAAAGGGCUAGCCCGCUAUGAGAUGAGCCCGCGUCCCAUUAGCUUGUUGGUGGGGUAACGGCCUACCAAGGCAACGAUGGGUAGCCGGCCUGAGAGGGUGUACGGCCACACUGGGACUGAGACACGGCCCAGACUCCUACGGGGGGGCAGCAGUAGGGAAUAUUGCACAAUGGAGGAAACUCUGAUGCAGCAACGCCGCGUGGAGGAUGACGCAUUUUCGGUGUGUAAACUUCCUUUUAUAAGGGAAGAUAAUGACGGUUACCUUAUAGAAUAAGCACCGGCUAACUCCGUGCCAGCAGCCGAC
RNAcentral lists this ribosomal RNA (498 nucleotides) under uncultured bacterium. Its description in RNAcentral is "bacterial SSU rRNA". It matches the Rfam family "Bacterial small subunit ribosomal RNA", at positions 32 to 518 of the family's 1533-position model. The record is from RNAcentral.